AUACGUAGGGGGCGAGCGUUGUCCGGAAUGAUUGGGCGUAAAGGGCGCGUAGGCGGCGCGGUAAGUCUGGAGUGAAAGUCCUGCUUUCAAGGGGGGAAUCGCUUUGGAUACUGCCGCGCUUGAGUGCAGGAGAGGUUAUCGGAAUUCCCGGUGUAGCGGUGAAAUGCGUAGAGAUCGGGAGGAACACCAGUGGCGAAGGCGGGUAACUGGACUGCAACUGACGCUGAGGCGCGAAAGUGUGGGGAGCAAACAGGAUUAGAUACCCUGGUAGUCCACACUGUAAACGAUGAAUGCUAGGUGUAAGAGGUAUCGACCCCUUUUGUGCCGGAGUCAACACAAUAAGCAUUCCGCCUGGGGAGUACGGCCGCAAGGUUGAAACUCAAAUGAAUUGACGGGG
RNAcentral lists this ribosomal RNA (397 nucleotides) under uncultured bacterium. Its description in RNAcentral is "partial 16S ribosomal RNA". It matches the Rfam family "Bacterial small subunit ribosomal RNA", at positions 523 to 918 of the family's 1533-position model. The record is from RNAcentral.